RNAcentral lists this long non-coding RNA (1666 nucleotides) under Homo sapiens (human). RNAcentral describes it as "HSALNT0406421". The record is from RNAcentral. Lineage: Eukaryota; Metazoa; Chordata; Mammalia; Primates; Hominidae.
AAACUAACCCUGCUCCCCAUGACACCUCCAAAAAGAAAGGAAUCCAGAGAGAAUGAUACUACAGUUCUAUGGCAAAACUCAAUAGGGUAAAGUAGUGAGUAGCAUUCUCCAAGCUUUUGUGACAAAAUAAAGAUGCUUUUCAAGAAUAGUAAUGGCAGAGGCUCUUAAAGUACCCGGAAGUACAAAACACAAUGUGAUUAAUACAAAUAUUCUCUGAGUUCAACUACCAAAUUCCAGAAAAAUUAGCAACUAUCUUUUCUUUAGCAAACAUUCACAUCUGAAUUUAGUGCAAUUUUCUCAUGAAUUAUUCAACUAGCAGAUAAAAUCUUUGUUUAAAUAAUGAAUGAAAUUAGCUGAUUUUUAAGAAGCUAGCUAUAUUUCUGAUUACAAGAUGAAAAAAAAAUUUGGUGAAUGAAUGUUGAAUCACUGCAUAGCUACAAAAUUUGUCUGCUUUGUCCAAAACAACCAGAAACCUUAGAGCUAGAUGUCAGAAAGGUAUUUUCAACUGAUUUGGAAUGCAAAAUAUCUUCCCACGUUUGGUCCAGGAGGACGUGGCUCAGAGGCUGCCAAGUAUACCCCUCCUGCAGGACGGUGCAGACCCCUUUGCACAGGACUGUCUCUGACUCUCAGCCUCGCGGCUUCCUCAGACUUCCACAGAACAAGAGGUAAUGGCAAGAAGGCAGGGACAGGACCCAGGAGCACUGAGUUAAGCCUGGCGCUGCCACCUGCUCAGCCAUGUGAACUUAGGAGGCAUGUACAAUUAUCCUCAUGAAGAUAAGUUUCACUGAGACGCAAGCUCCAUAAAGGCCAGUAUUCGUUCACUGCUGUAUUUCCUGAGCUUGGAGCAGGGCCUGGCACAUAGAACCUGACAUGGAAGAUUUCCUAGAGUUGGGAUCCUUUGCUGUACAACACUGGUCAGGACUGGAGAGGCAGGGAGGUGUCAGGUGGACAUCUGGAAUUUCCUAAUAGCGAUCUCCUCUUACAUCAAAGUAGUAGUUCCCCUCUGCCUGUAAGGCAGACUUCAUUUCCAACAUAAGGAACAGGAGACCUGGAGCUCUCCCACAGGACUGCUUGCUCGCACACUGUGUCUGCAUUAUCUGUCUCACUCCAAAAUAGCGAUGCAGGGACUGGUAGGGACAGGCUGCCAUUCCAGACAGGUGCAGCUCCUGCUCUCACUCUACUGGACAGAUGGCCAUGGUCAACAGUCACAGAGUUAUGGAGGCCAAAAACUCCCCCAGCAGAAAUGCCAAGUAGGAGGCAGGUGCCCCACCAUGCCUACUAAGGCAGGGCCACCCCCAGACAUUAGCAGGCUGUCACAGUACUUCCCAGAGUGCCAGCGCACACAUGCACAUGCUGAAAUGGUGCUGGCUGAAGCACAUGGCAUCAAAUGGUUCUUUCUGUCUGCAAGACCUGAAGAGGGGCUGUUUUGAUGGCUUCAUGUUUCUUACAAUUUGUUUCUACAGGCCAUUCUCUCUACCCAGACAGGACUGCAAUGAGAAAUCUACAUAGUAUCCCACUAAUGGGAAAUCAUUACAUAGAAAUACACCUGUGGAUAAACCCAUCCUUCUCUUGUUCUUCCAAUGGUUGAGUCUUUUAAAACAAACAAACAAACAAACAUCAGUUCAUUUCUUUUUUCUUUCUGUGGUUUUGUUUUUCUUGUGAUUAU